This 751-nucleotide ribosomal RNA is filed under the name uncultured bacterium. RNAcentral describes it as "bacterial SSU rRNA". It matches the Rfam family "Bacterial small subunit ribosomal RNA", at positions 28 to 776 of the family's 1533-position model. The record is from RNAcentral.
AUUGAACGCUGGCGGCAGGCUUAACACAUGCAAGUCGAACGAUGAAGAUAUAGCUUGCUAUAUUGGAUUAGUGGCGGACGGGUGAGUAACACUUAGGAAUCUACCUUUUAGCGGGGGAUAGCUCGGGGAAACUCGAAUUAAUACCGCAUAAUUUCUACGGAAUAAAGAGGGCUUUUUAGCUCUCACUAGAAGAUGAGCCUAAGUAAGAUUAGCUAGUUGGUGGGGUAAAAGCCUACCAAGGCGACGAUCUUUAGCUGGUCUGAGAGGAUGAUCAGCCACACUGGGACUGAGACACGGCCCAGACUCCUACGGGAGGCAGCAGUGGGGAAUAUUGGACAAUGGGGGAAACCCCGAUCCAGCCAUGCCGCGUGUGUGAAGAAGGCCUUUUGGUUGUAAAGCACUUUAAGCAGUGAAGAAGACCUAUUGGUUAAUACCCAAUAGCGAUGACAUUAACUGCAGAAUAAGCACCGGCUAACUCUGUGCCAGCAGCCGCGGUAAUACAGAGGGUGCAAGCGUUAAUCGGAAUUACUGGGCGUAAAGCGAGCGUAGGUGGUUAAAUAAGUCAGAUGUGAAAGCCCUGGGCUCAACCUAGGAACGGCAUCUGAAACUAUUUAACUAGAGUAGGUGAGAGGGAAGUAGAAUUUCAGGUGUAGCGGUGAAAUGCGUAGAGAUCUGAAGGAAUACCGAUGGCGAAGGCAGCUUCCUGGCAUCAUACUGACACUGAGGCUCGAAAGCGUGGGUAGCAAACAGG